This 440-nucleotide ribosomal RNA is filed under the name uncultured bacterium. RNAcentral describes it as "partial 16S ribosomal RNA". It matches the Rfam family "Bacterial small subunit ribosomal RNA", at positions 338 to 795 of the family's 1533-position model. The record is from RNAcentral.
CCUACGGGUGACAGCAGUGGGGGAUAUUGCACAAUGGGGGAAACCCUGAUGCAGCAACGCCGCGUGUGGGAAGAAGGUUUUCGGAUUGUAAACCACUGUUCUUGGUGAAGAUAAUGACGGUAACCAAGGAGAAAGCUCCGGCUAACUACGUGCCAGCAGCCGCGGUAAUACGUAGGGAGCAAGCGUUGUCCGGAUUUACUGGGUGUAAAGGGUGCGUAGGCGGUCUUGCAAGUCAGACGUGAAAACCACAGGCUCAACCUGUGGACUGCGUUUGAAACUGUGGGGCUUGAGUGAAGUAGAGGUAGGAGGAAAUGCCGGUGGAGCGGUGAAAGGCGUAGAGAUCGGGAGGAACAACAGGGGCGAAGGCGGGCUACUGGGCGUUAAAUGACGCGGGGGUACGAAAGCAUGGGUAGCAAACAGGAUUAGAUACACGGGUAGUG